CGGAUCGUAGCUUAAUUGGCUAAAGCACUUGUUUUUGAUACAAAUAAUUGUUGGUUCAAGUCCAACCGCUCCUU
Molecule: transfer RNA, 74 nt
Filed under: Chrysochromulina sp. NIES-1333
Lineage: Eukaryota; Haptophyta; Prymnesiales; Chrysochromulinaceae
Description: tRNA-Gln
Rfam family: tRNA
About the family: Transfer RNA (tRNA) molecules are approximately 80 nucleotides in length. Their secondary structure includes four short double-helical elements and three loops (D, anti-codon, and T loops).
Source: RNAcentral